GAUGAAGAACGUAGCGAAAUGCGAUAACUAGUGUGAAUUGCAGAUUUCAGUGAAUCAUCGAAUCUUUGAACGCACAUUGCGCCCCCUGGUAUUCCGGGGGGCAUGCCUGUCCGAGCGUCAUUACAACCCUCAAGCUCAGCUUGGUGUUGGGCCCCGCCGCCCCGGCGGGCCCUAAAGUCAGUGGCGGUGCCGUCCGGCUCCGAGCGUAGUAAUUCUUCUCGCUCUGGAGGUCCGGUCGUGUGCUCGCCAGCAACCCCCAAUUUUUUUCAGGUUGACCUCGGAUCAGGUAGGGAUACCCGCUGAACUUAAGCAUAUCAAUAAGCGGAGGA
Molecule: unclassified non-coding RNA, 329 nt
Filed under: soil metagenome
Description: partial contains 5.8S ribosomal RNA, internal transcribed spacer 2, and large subunit ribosomal RNA
Rfam family: 5.8S ribosomal RNA (bases 1-120)
Source: RNAcentral